UGCGCGAGUCAUUGGGACUAGCGAAACCUAAAGGCGAAAUGAAAGUAAAGGCUCGCCUUGCGCGAGCCGAGGGAGGAUGGGCCGCGUCACGACGCGGCUCCGCACUCCCGGGGCGUCUCGCUCUCAUUGCGAGAUGAGGCGCACCCAGAGCGUAUACGCUGAGACCCGAAAGAUGGUGAACUAUGCCUGGUCAGGACGAAGUCAGGGGAAACCCUGAUGGAGGUCCGUAGCGAUUCUGACGUGCAAAUCGAUCGUCGGAACUGGGUAUAGGGGCGAAAGACUAAUCGAACCGUCUAGUAGCUGGUUCCCUCCGAAGUUUCCCUCAGGAUAGCUGGCGCUCGCUGUGCGAGUCUCAUCCGGUAAAGCGAAUGAUUAGAGGCAUUGGGGUCGAAACGGCCUCAACCUAUUCUCAAACUUUAAAUGGGUGAGAUCUCCGGCUUGCUUGAACGUGAAGCCGCGAGAUUUCGGAUCAGAGUGCCAAGUGGGCCACUUUUGGUAAGCAGAACUGGCGCUGUGGGAUGAACCAAACGCCGAGUUAAAGCGCCAAAAUCGACGCUUAUGGGAUACCAUGAAAGGCGUUG
Molecule: ribosomal RNA, 581 nt
Filed under: Lesteva sp. MNCN AI450
Lineage: Eukaryota; Metazoa; Arthropoda; Insecta; Coleoptera; Staphylinidae
Description: eukaryotic LSU rRNA
Rfam family: Eukaryotic large subunit ribosomal RNA
Source: RNAcentral